AGCAGCCAUCCUUUAAAGAAAGCGUAACAGCUCACUGGUCAAGCGCUCCUGCGCGGAAAAUGUAACGGGGCUUAAGUGAUACACCGAAGCUGCGGGCUCGAAAGAGCGGUAGCGGAGCGUUCUGUAAGCCGUUGAAGGGAGACCCGCGAGGGCUCCUGGAGGUAUCAGAAGUGAGAAUGCUGACAUGAGUAGCGAUAAAGAGUGUGAGAGACACUCUCGCCGAAAGUCCAAGGGUUCCUGCGCAAUGCUAAUCAGCGCAGGGUUAGUCGGCCCCUAAGGCGAGGCAGAAAUGCGUAGUCGAUGGGAAGCAGGUUAAUAUUCCUGCACCAGUGGGUAGUGACGGAUCUCGUGUGUCGUCAGUCCUUAUCGGAUUGAACUGGCGGCGAAGAGGUCCCUGGAAAUAGCUCCCACAUUAGACCGUACCCCAAACCGACACAGGU
RNAcentral lists this ribosomal RNA (440 nucleotides) under Astrosyne radiata. RNAcentral's name for it is "partial Bacterial large subunit ribosomal RNA". It matches the Rfam family "Bacterial large subunit ribosomal RNA", at positions 1111 to 1664 of the family's 2925-position model. The record is from RNAcentral. Lineage: Eukaryota; Bacillariophyta; Fragilariophyceae; Cyclophorales; Cyclophoraceae.